RNAcentral lists this ribosomal RNA (481 nucleotides) under uncultured bacterium. RNAcentral's name for it is "partial 16S ribosomal RNA". It matches the Rfam family "Bacterial small subunit ribosomal RNA", at positions 28 to 507 of the family's 1533-position model. The record is from RNAcentral.
GACGAACGUUGGCGGCGUGCUUAAUACAUGCAAGUCAACUGAAGCAGUGGUAGCAAUAUCGCUGUGGAGGUGGCGCACGGGUGAGUAACACGUAGGUAAUCUGCCUUCAGGUCUGGCAUAACUCCGGGAAACCGGGGCUAAUAGCAGAUGAUGCAGCGGCUCGACAUCGAGACAGUUGUUAAAGCUAUGGCGCCUGAAGAUGAGCCUGCGUCUGAUUAGCUAGUUGGCGGGGUAACGGCCCACCAAGGCAACGAUCGGUAGCUGGUCUGAGGGGAUGAUCAGCCACACUGGAACUGAGACACGGUCCAGACUCCUACGGGAGGCAGCAGUAAGGAAUAUUGCUCAAUGGGAGAAAUCCUGAAGCAGCAACGCCGCGUGAGGGACGAAGGGCUUUUGCUUGUAAACCUCUGUAGUGAGAGAAAAAAAUCCCAAUCUUUGGGACAUGAUGGUAUCUCAAAAGUAAGCCCCGGCUAACUACGUG